Molecule: ribosomal RNA, 253 nt
Filed under: uncultured bacterium
Lineage: Bacteria
Description: partial 16S ribosomal RNA
Rfam family: Bacterial small subunit ribosomal RNA
Source: RNAcentral
UACAGAGGGGGCAAGCGUUGUUCGGAAUUACUGGGCGUAAAGGGCGCGUAGGCGGCCUGCUAAGUCGAACGUGAAAUCCCUGGGCUCAACCCAGGAACUGCGUCCGAUACUGGUUGGCUUGAAUCCGGGAGAGGGAUGUGGAAUUCCAGGUGUAGCGGUGAAAUGCGCAGAUAUCAGGAGGAACACCAGUGGCGAAGGCGCCGCUCUGGGCCGUGACUGACGCUGAGGAGCGAAAGCGUGGGUAGCAAACAGG